RNAcentral lists this transfer RNA (73 nucleotides) under Dehalococcoidia bacterium. RNAcentral describes it as "tRNA-Glu". It matches the Rfam family "tRNA". Rfam says of the family: Transfer RNA (tRNA) molecules are approximately 80 nucleotides in length. Their secondary structure includes four short double-helical elements and three loops (D, anti-codon, and T loops). Further hydrogen bonds mediate the characteristic L-shaped molecular structure. tRNAs have two regions of fundamental functional importance: the anti-codon, which is responsible for specific mRNA codon recognition, and the 3' end, to which the tRNAs corresponding amino acid is attached (by aminoacyl-tRNA synthetases). tRNAs cope with the degeneracy of the genetic code in two manners: having more than one tRNA (with a specific anti-codon) for a particular amino acid; and 'wobble' base-pairing, i.e. permitting non-standard base-pairing at the 3rd anti-codon position. The record is from RNAcentral. RNAcentral also lists the same sequence under 1 other name. Lineage: Bacteria; Bacillati; Chloroflexota; Dehalococcoidia.
GCCCCCAUCGUCUAGAGGUCUAGGACACCGGCCUUUCAAGCCGGCAACGGCGAUUCGAAUUCGCCUGGGGGCA